RNAcentral lists this ribosomal RNA (863 nucleotides) under Phengodidae sp. KSH377. RNAcentral's name for it is "SSU rRNA". It matches the Rfam family "Eukaryotic small subunit ribosomal RNA", at positions 448 to 1291 of the family's 1831-position model. The record is from RNAcentral. Lineage: Eukaryota; Metazoa; Arthropoda; Insecta; Coleoptera; Phengodidae.
CUCCCGGCACGGGGAGGUAGUGACGAAAAAUAACGAUACGGGACUCAUCCGAGGCCCCGUAAUCGGAAUGAGUACACUCUAAACCCUAUAACGAGGAUCAAUUGGAGGGCAAGUCUGGUGCCAGCAGCCGCGGUAAUUCCAGCUCCAAUAGCGUAUAUUAAAGUUGUUGCGGUUAAAAAGCUCGUAGUCGAAUCUGUGUCCCGCGCCGCCGGUUCAUCGCUCGCGGUGUUUAACUGGCGUGUCCGCGGGACGUCCUGCCGGUGGGCGCAGCCCCCCGCCGCGGUGCUCUUCAUUGAGUGUCGAGGCGGGCCGGCACGUUUACUUUGAACAAAUUAGAGUGCUUAAAGCAGGCUAAAACUUCGCCUGAAUAUCGUGUGCAUGGAAUAAUGGAAUAGGACCUCGGUUCUAUUUUGUUGGUUUUCGGAACCCCGAGGUAAUGAUUAAUAGGAACGGAUGGGGGCAUUCGUAUUGCGACGUUAGAGGUGAAAUUCUUGGAUCGUCGCAAGACGGACGGAAGCGAAAGCAUUUGCCAAAAACGCUUUCAUUGAUCAAGAACGAAAGUUAGAGGUUCGAAGGCGAUCAGAUACCGCCCUAGUUCUAACCAUAAACGAUGCCAGCUAGCGAUCCGCCGACGUUCCUCCGAUGACUCGGCGGGCAGCUUCCGGGAAACCAAAGCUUUUGGGUUCCGGGGGAAGUAUGGUUGCAAAGCUGAAACUUAAAGGAAUUGACGGAAGGGCACCACCAGGAGUGGAGCCUGCGGCUUAAUUUGACUCAACACGGGAAACCUCACCAGGCCCGGACACCGGAAGGAUUGACAGAUUGAGAGCUCUUUCUUGAUUCGGUGGGUGGUGGUGCAUGGCCGU